This 1407-nucleotide ribosomal RNA is filed under the name Enterobacter asburiae. RNAcentral's name for it is "bacterial SSU rRNA". It matches the Rfam family "Bacterial small subunit ribosomal RNA". Lineage: Bacteria; Pseudomonadati; Pseudomonadota; Gammaproteobacteria; Enterobacterales; Enterobacteriaceae. The record is from RNAcentral.
CAUGCAAGUCGGGCGGUAACACAGGGAGCUUGCUCCCGGGUGACGAGCGGCGGACGGGUGAGUAAUGUCUGGGAAACUGCCUGAUGGAGGGGGAUAACUACUGGAAACGGUAGCUAAUACCGCAUAAUGUCGCAAGACCAAAGAGGGGGACCUUCGGGCCUCUUGCCAUCAGAUGUGCCCAGAUGGGAUUAGCUAGUAGGUGGGGUAAUGGCUCACCUAGGCGACGAUCCCUAGCUGGUCUGAGAGGAUGACCAGCCACACUGGAACUGAGACACGGUCCAGACUCCUACGGGAGGCAGCAGUGGGGAAUAUUGCACAAUGGGCGCAAGCCUGAUGCAGCCAUGCCGCGUGUAUGAAGAAGGCCUUCGGGUUGUAAAGUACUUUCAGCGGGGAGGAAGGCGUUGUGGUUAAUAACCACAGCGAUUGACGUUACCCGCAGAAGAAGCACCGGCUAACUCCGUGCCAGCAGCCGCGGUAAUACGGAGGGUGCAAGCGUUAAUCGGAAUUACUGGGCGUAAAGCGCACGCAGGCGGUCUGUCAAGUCGGAUGUGAAAUCCCCGGGCUCAACCUGGGAACUGCAUUCGAAACUGGCAGGCUAGAGUCUUGUAGAGGGGGGUAGAAUUCCAGGUGUAGCGGUGAAAUGCGUAGAGAUCUGGAGGAAUACCGGUGGCGAAGGCGGCCCCCUGGACAAAGACUGACGCUCAGGUGCGAAAGCGUGGGGAGCAAACAGGAUUAGAUACCCUGGUAGUCCACGCCGUAAACGAUGUCGACUUGGAGGUUGUUCCCUUGAGGAGUGGCUUCCGGAGCUAACGCGUUAAGUCGACCGCCUGGGGAGUACGGCCGCAAGGUUAAAACUCAAAUGAAUUGACGGGGGCCCGCACAAGCGGUGGAGCAUGUGGUUUAAUUCGAUGCAACGCGAAGAACCUUACCUACUCUUGACAUCCAGAGAACUUAGCAGAGAUGCUUUGGUGCCUUCGGGAACUCUGAGACAGGUGCUGCAUGGCUGUCGUCAGCUCGUGUUGUGAAAUGUUGGGUUAAGUCCCGCAACGAGCGCAACCCUUAUCCUUUGUUGCCAGCGGUUAGGCCGGGAACUCAAAGGAGACUGCCAGUGAUAAACUGGAGGAAGGUGGGGAUGACGUCAAGUCAUCAUGGCCCUUACGAGUAGGGCUACACACGUGCUACAAUGGCAUAUACAAAGAGAAGCGACCUCGCGAGAGCAAGCGGACCUCAUAAAGUAUGUCGUAGUCCGGAUUGGAGUCUGCAACUCGACUCCAUGAAGUCGGAAUCGCUAGUAAUCGUAGAUCAGAAUGCUACGGUGAAUACGUUCCCGGGCCUUGUACACACCGCCCGUCACACCAUGGGAGUGGGUUGCAAAAGAAGUAGGUAGCUUAACCUUCGGGAGGGCGC